This 436-nucleotide ribosomal RNA is filed under the name uncultured bacterium. Its description in RNAcentral is "bacterial SSU rRNA". It matches the Rfam family "Bacterial small subunit ribosomal RNA", at positions 26 to 507 of the family's 1533-position model. The record is from RNAcentral.
UACAGAACGAACGCUGGCGGCAUGCCUAACACAUGCAAGUCGAACGAGACCUUCGGGUCUAGUGGCGCACGGGUGCGUAACGCGUGGGAAUCUGCCUUGGGUUCGGAAUAACAGUUAGAAAUGACUGCUAAUACCGGAUAAUGUCUUCGGACCAAGAUUUAUCGCCCAGGGAUGAGCCCGCGUAGGAUUAGCUAGUUGGUGAGGUAAAGGCUCACCAAGGCGACGAUCCUUAGCUGGUCUGAGAGGAUGAUCAGCCACACUGGGACUGAGACACGGCCCAGACUCCUACGGGAGGCAGCAGUGGGGAAUAUUGGACAAUGGGCGAAAGCCUGAUCCAGCAAUGCCGCGUGAGUGAUGAAGGCCUUAGGGUUGUAAAGCUCUUUUACCCGGGAUGAUAAUGACAGUACCGGGAGAAUAAGCCCCGGCUAACUCCGUG